Molecule: ribosomal RNA, 497 nt
Filed under: uncultured bacterium
Lineage: Bacteria
Description: partial 16S ribosomal RNA
Rfam family: Bacterial small subunit ribosomal RNA
Source: RNAcentral
GAUGAACGCUGGCGGCGUGCCUAAUACAUGCAAGUCGAGCGAACAGACGAGGAGCUUGCUCCUCUGACGUUAGCGGCGGACGGGUGAGUAACACGUGGAUAACCUACCUAUAAGACUGGGAUAACUUCGGGAAACCGGAGCUAAUACCGGAUAAUAUAUUGAACCGCAUGGUUCAAUAGUGAAAUACGGUUUUGCUGUCACUUAUAGAUGGAUCCGCGCCGCAUUAGCUAGUUGGUAAGGUAACGGCUUACCAAGGCAACGAUGCGUAGCCGACCUGAGAGGGUGAUUCGCCCCACUGGAACUGAGACACGGUCCAGACUCCUACGGGAGGCAGCAGUAGGGAAUCUUCCGCAAUGGGCGAAAGCCUGACGGAGCAACGCCGCGUGAGUGAUGAAGGUCUUCGGAUCGUAAAACUCUGUUAUUAGGGAAGAACAAAUGUGUAAGUAACUAUGCACGUCUUGACGGUACCUAAUAAGAAAGCCACGGCUAACUACGUG